AUCGCCGUUUGAUUGGUCGAAACGGUUUGACGUGAGACGUGACCCGACCUCCGGGCUUCGUGUGUUUAUUGAUAUCAGUUGUUGGGUUCACAACAAUUUGACGCUAUCAUUCUAAUAUUUUUUAAGGUAGAAUAUUCUAAAAAACAUAUUCUAAAUAGAAUGUAAACAACAUCCUAGUUAAGUAUUGUAGUGUGAGGCACUUAUAGUUCCACCUAUUACGAAUAUAAUAUACAUUAUCAUAGUAACCAUGAGUGAUGGAAGCCUGAUGGAUAUGGUGAUAACUACUCUCGGUGUUUUAAUAAGCAUGGCUAUGCUGAGCUGCUUGUGCUGUCUUUGUAUGAAAUUUAGUGACUUGAAGCUGAAGGCAUAUAUAGUGGAAAUGGC
Molecule: long non-coding RNA, 384 nt
Organism: Trichoplusia ni (cabbage looper)
Lineage: Eukaryota; Metazoa; Arthropoda; Insecta; Lepidoptera; Noctuidae
Exons: 3
Source: RefSeq, a predicted model, not a curated record